This 446-nucleotide ribosomal RNA is filed under the name uncultured bacterium. Its description in RNAcentral is "partial 16S ribosomal RNA". It matches the Rfam family "Bacterial small subunit ribosomal RNA", at positions 338 to 795 of the family's 1533-position model. The record is from RNAcentral.
CCUACGGGGGGCAGCAGUCGAGAAUCAUUCACAAUGGGGGAAACCCUGAUGGUGCGACGCCGCGUGGGGGAAUGAAGGUCUUCGGAUUGUAAACCCCUGUCAUGUGGGAGCAAAUUAAAAAGAUAGUACCACAAGAGGAAGAGACGGCUAACUCUGUGCCAGCAGCCGCGGUAAUACAGAGGUCUCAAGCGUUGUUCGGAAUCACUGGGCGUAAAGCGUGCGGAGGCUGUUUCGUAAGUCGGGUGUGAAAGGCGGGGGCUCAACCCGCGGACGGCACAUGAUACUGCGAGACUAGAGUAAUGGAGGGGGAACCGGAAUUCUCGGUGUAGCAGUGAAAUGCGUAGAUAUCGAGAGGAACACUCGUGGCGAAGGCGGGUUCCUGGACAUUAACUGACGCUGAGGCACGAAGGCCAGGGGAGCGAAAGGGAUUAGAUACCCCAGUAGUC